GCGGGAAAAGCUCAAAUUUAAAAUCUGGCGGUCUCUGGCCGUCCGAGUUGUAAUCUAGAGAAGUGUUAUCCGCGCUGGACCGUGUACAAGUCUCCUGGAAUGGAGCGUCAUAGAGGGUGAGAAUCCCGUCUUUGACACGGACUGCCAGGGCUUUGUGAUGCGCUCUCAAAGAGUCGAGUUGUUUGGGAAUGCAGCUCAAAAUGGGUGGUAAAUUCCAUCUAAAGCUAAAUAUUGGCGAGAGACCGAUAGCGAACAAGUACCGUGAGGGAAAGAUGAAAAGAACUUUGGAAAGAGAGUUAAACAGUACGUGAAAUUGCUGAAAGGGAAACGCUUGAAGUCAGUCGCGUUGGCCGGGGAUCAACCUUGCUUUUGCUGGGCGUACUUUCCGGUUGACGGGUCAGCAUCAAUUUUGACCGUUGGAUAAAGUCCAGGGGAAUGUGGCAUCUUCGGAUGUGUUAUAGCCCUUGGUCGCAUACAACGGUUGGGAUUGAGGAACUCAGCACGCCGCAAGGCCGGGUACUUGUACCACGUUCGUGCUUAGGAUGCUGGCAUAAUGGCUUUAAUCGACCCGUCUUGAAACACGGACCAAGGAGUCUAACAUGCCUGCGAGUGUUUGGGUGGAAAACUCGGACGCGUAAUGAAAGUGAAAGUUGAGAUCCCUGUCGUGGGGAGCAUCGACGCCCGGACCAGACCUUUUGUGACGGAUCCGCGGUAGAGCAUGUAUGUUGGGACCCGAAAGAUGGUGAACUAUGCCUGAAUAGGGUGAAGCCAGAGGAAACUCUGGUGGAGGCUCGUAGCGAUUCUGACGUGCAAAUCGAUCGUCAAAUUUGGGUAUAGGGGCGAAAGACUAAU
This 852-nucleotide ribosomal RNA is filed under the name Hebeloma lutense. RNAcentral's name for it is "LSU rRNA". It matches the Rfam family "Eukaryotic large subunit ribosomal RNA", at positions 98 to 935 of the family's 3401-position model. The record is from RNAcentral. Lineage: Eukaryota; Fungi; Basidiomycota; Agaricomycetes; Agaricales; Hymenogastraceae.